This 293-nucleotide ribosomal RNA is filed under the name uncultured prokaryote. Its description in RNAcentral is "partial 16S ribosomal RNA". It matches the Rfam family "Archaeal small subunit ribosomal RNA", at positions 455 to 747 of the family's 1478-position model. The record is from RNAcentral.
GUGUCAGCCGCCGCGGUAAUACCGGCAGCUCGAGUGAUGACCGAUUUUAUUGGGCCUAAAGCGUCCGUAGCUGGCCAGGCAAGUCCGUUGGGAAAUCCACCUGCUCAACAGGUGGGCGCCCGGUAGAAACUGCGUGGCUUGGGACCGGAAGGCGCGACGGGUACGUCCGGGGUAGGAGUGAAAUCCCGUAAUCCUGGACGGACCGCCGAUGGCGAAAGCGCCUCAGGAGAACGGAUCCGACAGUGAGGGACGAAAGCUAGGGUCUCGAACCGGAUUAGAAACCCCGGUAGUCC